Molecule: ribosomal RNA, 467 nt
Filed under: uncultured bacterium
Lineage: Bacteria
Description: partial 16S ribosomal RNA
Rfam family: Bacterial small subunit ribosomal RNA
Source: RNAcentral
GACGAACGCUGGCGGCGUGCUUAACACAUGCAAGUCGAACGGAAAGGCCCUGCUUUUGUGGGGUGCUCGAGUGGCGAACGGGUGAGUAACACGUGAGUAACCUGCCCUUGACUUUGGGAUAACUUCAGGAAACUGGGGCUAAUACCGGAUAGGAGCUCCUGCUGCAUGGUGGGGGUUGGAAAGUUUCGGCGGUUGGGGAUGGACUCGCGGCUUAUCAGCUUGUUGGUGGGGUAGUGGCUUACCAAGGCUUUGACGGGUAGCCGGCCUGAGAGGGUGACCGGCCACAGUGGGACUGAGAUACGGCCCAGACUCCUACGGGAGGCAGCAGUGGGGAAUAUUGCACAAUGGGCGGAAGCCUGAUGCAGCAACGCCGCGUGCGGGAUGACGGCCUUCGGGUUGUAAACCGCUUUCGCUGUGACGAAGCGUGAGUGACGGUAAUGGGUAAAGAAGCACCGGCUAACUACGUG